Colius striatus (speckled mousebird) is the source of this 2044-nucleotide RNA transcript. It is a transcript of the gene named ADP ribosylation factor like GTPase 6 interacting protein 4, with no coding region annotated. Lineage: Eukaryota; Metazoa; Chordata; Aves; Coliiformes; Coliidae. The record is from RefSeq and is a predicted model, not a curated record. The transcript has 7 exons.
AGCCAGCGCCGAGCGGUGAGGCCGAGCGGUGAGUCCGCCCGGCCGCCCCGGGGCCGCUGCGCCGGGACCGCGCCGGGAGCCGCGGAGCGCCCGGCCCCGGGGCUGAGGCGCGAUGGCCCACAGCCGGUCACGGAAGCGAUCACGGAGCAGGAGCAAAAGCAGUUCCCGGAGCAGACAGGAGAGGAAGGAGAAGAAAAGGAGGAAAAGCAGCAAGGACUCACACCAGGGCAGCAGCUCUCCUCUGCAGGAGCGAACCUCUGGGUGUCACAGCCACAAGUGGAGCUCUGUGGGAGGAAAGAAGAAGGAAAGAAAGGAAAAAAAGAAGAGGAAGGCAAGUACCUCUUCCUCUGAGACAUCAUCCAGCACCUCCUCCUCAUCUUCCUCUUCCUCCAGCUCCUCUUCUGCUGAUUCCAGUGACAGUGACUCCAAAACAAAGAAGAGUCGACACAGCAAAAAAAAGCAAAGGAAACAGAGAGAGAAAAAGAAGAAGAAAAUAAAGAAGAAAGCAAAAAAGAAGUCAAAGGAAAGGGGUAAGGAGGAGAAAGCCAAGGGAGAAGUGGUGCCUGGCCCCUCGCUGGAGCAGUGGCAGAAGGAGUCACUGGUGGACUCAGGACCAGUUUUGACAGAUGAACAGAAAUCCCGAAUCCAGGCCAUGAAGCCCAUGACGAAGGAGGAAUGGGACGCGAGGCAGAGCGUCAUAAGGAGAGUCGUGGAUCCAGAGACAGGGAGAACCAGGCUUAUCAAAGGAGAUGGAGAAGUACUAGAAGAGAUUGUCAGCAAGGAGAGACACAAGGAGAUUAACAAGCAAGCCACCCGAGGGGACGGGCUGGCCUUCCAGGUGAGGACGGGGAUGCUGCAGUGAGCGCCCACAGCAGCCCCUGCGCUGGCCCAUGCGGACGGCACCGCGCCAGGACGCUCCCCAGGGGCACUUCCAGCUGCUCUAGUUUUGCCUCAUCUGACUGAUCUGGCAAAGGCAGGAAAAAAACCCAACCAACCCCAGCGCCGGGCGGGAGGGAGCGCACGGGCUCCUCUCGUGAAAAGGCUUGAAGGGGACGGCGUCGGGUAGAAAGUCUGGCCCCGAGAGUGCUGUAAAUACAAAAAGCUGCUCGCUGUAAAAAAAUCUGGAGCUCCAGAGCAGAGUUUGAUUCCCAUGGAAAGGAGUUUUUGAAGAAAGCCAAAGGCCGAGGCAGCGUGUGCAGCGCUGGGCUGCGCUUGUGCUCGUGUGUGAGAGCGCGACGGGGGCUGCGGGGGACCAAGGACCGCGACGCUUCAUACCCUUCCCUUCCAAAGCAACCACCUUCUUUGUACCAAAAGAGAAAGGAUGAAGGUCUGUGAGCUGACAGUGCCCCUUUAGGAUGGAUGGAACAUACAUUCAUCUUUUAUCCCCCUCAACUGCGUCCAAAGAGGUGGAAAGGCAUCGGGUCACAUGCAUUGCUCUCCAAACGGCUCGGAACAAACAUCAUAAACACAGAGUUCAACUAUUGCUAUUGUUGUGUGAGUGAGCGAGUGGCACGUGGCUCUCUGCUUGGGAUAGCUGAGUGCCAGACGGGGGCGGCUGAGGAGAGAUGGAUGCACGCUGGGAUGGACUGAACCUGACUGGCUUUAGUUCCUGGUAACUCCCUCCCCCCCUCACCUGGUAUUAUUGCAGCAAAUUAAAGGUCCUGCUCUACGAUUGCUUCUCCUUGUCGGAUCUGUACAAUGGCAACAGAUGGGGGGGGCCAGGGAAAGGACCCCGGGCGACGUUCAAGAAGCUCAAACAAAGGAUGAGGACGGAGGUGCAAUGAUUGUCAGUCUAAAGGGGUCGGGAGCUGUUCAGAACACGCAGUGAUGGAGAGGUGAGUAGAAUAUUGCACUUCUGCAUUGACAGUUACAUUAAACUUGGUCCAUAAAAGAAUUGCUUUGUACAUAAUGCCUGAAACAAAAAGCUACAUUUUUAAAUAUUAAUAAACCCUGAAGGUUCCAGUCCCUCCAGACAUUAUAUAUAUGGUUUUAACCCUCCCUCUACAUAAAUAAAUAACUUUCAGUUUUAUAUACCCACAUCUUA